GAUGAAGAACGUAGCGAAAUGCGAUAAGUAAUGCGAAUUGCAGAAUUCCAGUGAGUCAUCGAAUCUUUGAACGCACAUUGCGCCCUUUGGUAUUCCGAAGGGCAUGCCUGUUCGAGCGUCAUUAUCACCCCUCAAGCCCUCGGCUUGGUGUUGGACGGUUUGGUGGAGGCCCCCUCGGGGGCUCCUGCCCCUCCCAAAGACAAUGACGGCGGCCUCGUUGGACCCCCGGUACACUGAGUUCUUCACGGGACACGUAUCGGACACAUGGGUUUACGGGACACGGUCUGCCUCCCCUCAGGGAGAAUCUUUCUAAGGUUGACCUCGGAUCAGGUAGGGAUACCCGCUGAACUUAGGCAUAUCAAUAAGCGGAGGA
This 373-nucleotide unclassified non-coding RNA is filed under the name soil metagenome. RNAcentral describes it as "partial contains 5.8S ribosomal RNA, internal transcribed spacer 2, and large subunit ribosomal RNA". The stretch from base 1 to 121 matches the Rfam family "5.8S ribosomal RNA", at positions 35 to 154 of the family's 154-position model. The record is from RNAcentral.